CAGCAUUCCGUCAUGGUCUGUUCUUCAAUUCCUACCUCCAGAUUCCUGCCUUGAGUUCCUGCCUUGGCUUGCCUCCACGAUAGACUAUGUCCAAUCAACUUACUAUUACAGAGAUGAUCAGAGGCAGACACUUUCCUCGUACUAAGUACGUGUGCAUAAAGACAAGACUCUUUCCACUCUGCCUCCAAAGGGGAAAGUCCUUGGCUGGCAUUCCCUCAUCUUCUUGACCCUUCCCCAUUGUCUCUUGCAAGGGAAGUGGCCCCGAGUGAUCAGCACAGACCCUGGUGGGAAGACCAGUCUUUUGGGAGUGGCCAGAUUCCAGGCUGUGAUCCUGUGCUGCCUAACUGAAGAAUAGAAGUCAAGGAGCAGCAUCCAUUCACUGGACUUUGCUUCCUGACUGUGGACACAAUGUGACCAGCUCCUUCCACAAUGCUUCCCCACCAUGAUGGAGGGUA
Nannospalax galili (Upper Galilee mountains blind mole rat) is the source of this 455-nucleotide long non-coding RNA. RefSeq lists it as uncharacterized. The record is from RefSeq and is a predicted model, not a curated record. Lineage: Eukaryota; Metazoa; Chordata; Mammalia; Rodentia; Spalacidae. The transcript is spliced from 3 exons.